ACAAGUACCGUGAGGGAAAGUUGAAAAGCACUUUGAAAAGAGAGUGCAAGAGAACGUGAAACCGACAUAAUGGAAGCGGAUGGAGCCGACGUAUCGUGCUUGUAUUCAAUUGCACAGUGCUGCAAUCGACUGGUUCGGGCAUUCCGCAAGGUUGUCCACUGGUUGUUGUUGUUGUAUUCGUGUAAUGCUUUUGCAAGCGGAGUGCAUCGAGUGGGUUGAUUGCGCUGUUGGAAGCUGGUUUAGAGGACUUUCCCCUCGUGGGUUAGAACCCUGGGCUGGUGGAUGACAGAUGUGGUUGGCUUGCGUUUUGGUUGUUGGCUGGUGAUUUCGUGGUAUGGGUUGAGGUUGUGGGCUGCUAGUAGUCAACACAUGUGUUGUUUGCUUUCAGCUUGCAUCUUUGAUUCCUACUGCCCGUGCCUUCGACUCGAUGUUCAGUUGGUCACCCAUCCGACCCGUCUUGAAACACGGACCAAGGAGUUUACGGUGUACGCAAGUCAUUGGGCCUAGGAAACCCAAAGGCGUAAUGAAAGUGAGACAUUUGAUGUCUGUGAUGUGAACGAUUGUUGUUUCGAUGGCUUUUGUGCAACAUCGCCCCAUGACUAGGGCUUGCUCUGUUGUGGAGGUCGAGCGUACGCUGUGAGACCCGAAAGAUGGUGAACUAUGCCCGAACAG
RNAcentral lists this ribosomal RNA (672 nucleotides) under Aphelenchoides pannocaudus. RNAcentral describes it as "partial large subunit ribosomal RNA". It matches the Rfam family "Eukaryotic large subunit ribosomal RNA", at positions 344 to 844 of the family's 3401-position model. The record is from RNAcentral. Lineage: Eukaryota; Metazoa; Nematoda; Chromadorea; Rhabditida; Aphelenchoididae.